RNAcentral lists this ribosomal RNA (433 nucleotides) under uncultured bacterium. RNAcentral's name for it is "partial 16S ribosomal RNA". It matches the Rfam family "Bacterial small subunit ribosomal RNA", at positions 29 to 507 of the family's 1533-position model. The record is from RNAcentral.
AACGAACGCUGGCGGCAUGCCUAACACAUGCAAGUCGAACGAGACCUUCGGGUCUAGUGGCGCACGGGUGCGUAACGCGUGGGAACCUGCCCUUAGGUUCGGAAUAACUCCCCGAAAGGGGUGCUAAUACCGGAUAAUGUCUUCGGACCAAAGAUUUAUCGCCUUUGGAUGGGCCCGCGUUGGAUUAGCUAGUUGGUAGGGUAAAAGCCUACCAAGGCGACGAUCCAUAGCUGGUCUGAGAGGAUGAUCAGCCACACUGGGACUGAGACACGGCUCAGACUCCUACGGGAGGCAGCAGUGGGGAAUAUUGGACAAUGGGCGAAGGCCUGAUCCAGCAAUGCCGCGUGAGUGAUGAAGGCCUUAGGGUUGUAAAGCUCUUUUACCCGGGAUGAUAAUGACAGUACCGGGAGAAUAAGCGCCGGCUAACUCCGUG